This 622-nucleotide ribosomal RNA is filed under the name uncultured Russulaceae. RNAcentral describes it as "LSU rRNA". It matches the Rfam family "Eukaryotic large subunit ribosomal RNA", at positions 47 to 649 of the family's 3401-position model. Lineage: Eukaryota; Fungi; Basidiomycota; Agaricomycetes; Russulales; Russulaceae. The record is from RNAcentral.
UAAGCGGAGGAAAAGAAACUNACAAGGAUUCCCCUAGUAACUGCGAGUGAAGCGGGAAAAGCUCAAAUUUAAAAUCUGGCGGUCUUCGACUGUCCGAGUUGUAAUCUAGAGAAGUGUUAUCCGCGCUGGACCGUGUACAAGUCUCCUGGAAUGGAGCAUCAUAGAGGGUGAGAAUCCCGUCUUUGACAUGGACUACCAGGGCUUUGUGAUGCGCUCUCAAAGAGUCGAGUUGUUUGGGAAUGCAGCUCAAAAUGGGUGGUAAAUUCCAUCUAAAGCUAAAUAUUGGCGAGAGACCGAUAGCGAACAAGUACCGUGAGGGAAAGAUGAAAAGAACUUUGGAAAGAGAGUUAAACAGUACGUGAAAUUGCUGAAAGGGAAACGCUUGAAGUCAGUCGCGUCGUCCAGGGAUCAACCUUGCUUUUGCUUGGUGCACUUCCUGGUUUGAUGGGUCAGCAUCAAUUUUGACCAUUGGAAAAAGGCUAAGGGAAUGUGGCAUCUUUGGAUGUGUUAUAGCCCUUUGUCACAUACAAUGGUUGGGAUUGAGGAACUCAGCAUGCCGCAAGGCCGGGUUUUUUUAACCACGUACAUGCUUAGGAUGCUGGCAAUAUGGCUUUAAUCGACC